Molecule: ribosomal RNA, 782 nt
Filed under: Leifsonia sp. ARS-50
Lineage: Bacteria; Bacillati; Actinomycetota; Actinomycetes; Micrococcales; Microbacteriaceae
Description: bacterial SSU rRNA
Rfam family: Bacterial small subunit ribosomal RNA
Source: RNAcentral
ACUGGCGGCGUGCUUACACAUGCAGUUGCCCGAUGAACCAAGAAGCUUGCUCUUGUUUCCUAGUGGCGAAAAGGUGAGUAACACGUGAGUAACCUGCCCUUGACUCUGGGAUUUCCCCCGGAAACGGAAGCUAAUACCGGAUAUGACGUACGGAGGCAUCUCCUGUACGUGGAAAGAACUUCGGUCAAGGAUGGACUCGCGGCCUAUCAGGUAGUUGGUGAGGUAACGGCCCACCAAGCCUACGACGGGUAGCCGGCCUGAGAGGGUGACCGGCCACACUGGGACUGAGACACGGCCCAGACUCCUACGGGAGGCAGCAGUGGGGAAUAUUGCACAAUGGGCGCAAGCCUGAUGCAGCAACGCCGCGUGAGGGACGACGGCCUUCGGGUUGUAAACCUCUUUUAGUAGGGAAGAAGCGAAAGUGACGGUACCUGCAGAAAAAGCACCGGCUAACUACGUGCCAGCAGCCGCGGUAAUACGUAGGGUGCAAGCGUUGUCCGGAAUUAUUGGGCGUAAAGAGCUCGUAGGCGGUUUGUCGCGUCUGCUGUGAAAACCCGAGGCUCAACCUCGGGCCUGCAGUGGGUACGGGCAGACUAGAGUGCGGUAGGGGAGAAUGGAAUUCCUGGUGUAGCGGUGGAAUGCGCAGAUAUCAGGAGGAACACCGAUGGCGGAAGCAGUUCUCUGGGCCGUAACUGACGCUGAAGAACGAAAGCGUGGGGAGCGAAAAGGAUUAGAUACCCUGGUAGUCCACGCCGUAAACGUUGGGCGCUAGAUGUGGGGAC